UACAGAGGGGGCAAGCGUUAUUCGGAAUUAUUGGGCGUAAAGGGCGCGUAGGCGGCCUUUCAAGUGACGGGUGAAAUCCCUCGGCUUAACCGAGGAACUGCCUGUCAGACUGGGAGGUUUGAGACCGGGAGAGGUGAGUGGAAUUCCUAGUGUAGCGGUGAAAUGCGUAGAUAUUGGGAGGAACACCAGUGGCGAAGGCGGCUCACUGGACCGGAACUGACGCUGAUGCGCGAAAGCGUGGGGAGCAAACAGG
This 253-nucleotide ribosomal RNA is filed under the name uncultured bacterium. RNAcentral describes it as "partial 16S ribosomal RNA". It matches the Rfam family "Bacterial small subunit ribosomal RNA", at positions 524 to 776 of the family's 1533-position model. The record is from RNAcentral.